Molecule: long non-coding RNA, 538 nt
Filed under: Salvia miltiorrhiza (redroot sage)
Lineage: Eukaryota; Viridiplantae; Streptophyta; Magnoliopsida; Lamiales; Lamiaceae
Description: long non-coding RNA (SMIL_LNC006171)
Source: RNAcentral
AAAUCUUAAUGUUUUUUGGGCAUCUCUCCUUCGAGCGAGAGGUCAACGUAGGAGGGACGUAUGAGCAGAAUAAUUAAAUCCAUUAAUUGAUAAUUUAUGGGUUUAUACACUAUAAGUCUAUAAGGAAAGAUUGGCUUAGGGGCUUUAGCGAGCGUGACUCGUAACAAUAGGGGCAUUAGAGCAUCCGCAAUGGGGUUCCUUGAUAGCCUACUUGAUAGUGGUUGUGUUAUUGAGUAGGUAAUGCUGCAUUAGGGUUACUUGAUAGCCUACUUGAUAACAUUAAUUUUGAUUUUAUGUUUUUCAUUUAAAUUUUAUUGCAUAAUUUAAAUAACAUAUUUUUGUAAUAGUUAAAUACGCCAUUAAACAUAAAAUUUAAAAACACCUAAAACAUAAAAAAAAUUACAUAAAAAUUUAAAAACACCUAAAACAUAAAAAAAAAUUACAUAAAAAUUUAAAAACACCUAAAACCUAAAAAAAAAUUACAUAAAAAUUAAAAACACCUAAAACAUCAUAUUACCCCAUCGUGACGAUGAAGCGC